Molecule: long non-coding RNA, 432 nt
Filed under: Androctonus crassicauda
Lineage: Eukaryota; Metazoa; Arthropoda; Arachnida; Scorpiones; Buthidae
Source: RNAcentral
GUUCGUUUCCUGACGUUUUUCGAAUUCCCGCGAGUGUCUUUGUUGUUGUAGUAUGAGAUAUCGCGCCUUCGUAUUUUCGCCUGCCUAAGGCUGGUAGUCGAUGAUACCAAAAAUUUUACGUUAUAACUCGUUAAGUUAUGUUUUACGUAUUCAGUGCAGAAUAAAGUUUUACGUUAUAAUUCUUAUUUUCCUGUUUUUAACUUUAAGUGCCCUCAUAAUGGCUACUGCUAGCCUAUCUUUUGCAUAUAUAAAUGUUCGUUAUCUCAGGAGGUAUCUCCAAGAUCCUCUCAGCAUGUCCAGUUGUCUGUUGUUAACUACUCGGGCUUCUCUCUGUGCUUUGAAAAUCUGAAUAUUUUCCGCUAUGUAUAGUUCUUCUGGGUUCUGCACCAUUUUAAAUAUCUCUCCUUCUUCUCAUUUGACAUUGAUGUCCCC